GCGUGCUGGCAGGAUAUGAAAGCAUCUUCGGUUGUGUGUCAAGAAUUCUGCAUACAGUAGCACAUUUGUAUGAAGGUGUGGUUAAUCACAGGUAAAUUGUUAUAUGCUAUGGAGGUACAUUUUGUGUCUUUUUGUCGAGAGCAAAACAUUUUUUAUUUUCAAUCAAAAAUAAUUGUUCUGAAAGCAACUUUUUUCCGACACAAAGGAAGUCAGCGCGGACACCUACAAAAAUGGCAUCUCAGGUUAUAUCAGCCUCCCACAUCUGAACUGGCUGACACAGAGGGCACAGCAUGAUCAUAGGUGAGAUGUCACUUGGUGGGGUCGACAGAGAUGUAGUAGUCCCAGUUAAUGAUCCAAGGUAUGUUUUGAUGUGAGAGAGGAAGCCAGUCCCGUCAUCGCCACCUCACCCGCUCUUAAGAUAACCUUCGGGCCAACUGAGGGCCCAAGGCUGGUUAGGAGACACCGUAAUUGUGAUGAACUGAGAGAAUAUUAGGGUAGCACUGUAAUUCAUGAAUCAUAUGCUGUCUGACGCUGUUCUUACCUCUUUACCUUUCUGUCUUCUACACCUCUCUCCACACCUCGUCUUUCUUCCUCAUUUUACAAUGCACACCAUAUGUGCAUUGAAGUACAGAUUGAACUUAUAUUUAUAAUAUAACAUUACAAUUAUAUAUUUACUUGCUUAUUGUGUAGUGGAGGAUAAAAAUAACUGUAUGCCUAUGAAUGUGUAGCUAGCUACAGUAUGUAGCCGAUCUGUGUAUGGACCCUAAAACAUUAGGUUCUGAACUAAUAUUCAUACCAAUCUAUUAACCUCAGCUAUCAUAGUUGUUGUAUCAACUUACAUUUAACAUUUUAGUCAUUUAGCAGACGCUCUUAUCCAGAGCGACUUACAGUAGUGAAUGCAUACAUGUGAAAUGCUGUAUUGAAAGAAGUUCAUUAUCCAGGUGUUAUAAAUACAUAAAUGCAUUAUAUAUAUAUAAUGCAUUUAUGUGGCAAUAAAUUAAUAAAACCAAAAGCUUACCUUGACAUGGAAGAGUUCCAGUGUUGGAUAGCAAUAGCCAGCUAGCUAACAAAAACAUCCCUCUCUGUUUGGGUAGGCUAAUCUAUACUAAACAAAAAUAUAAACGCAACACGUAAAGUGAUGGUCCAAUGUUUCAUGAGCUGAAUUAAAAGAUCCCAGAAAUUUUCCAUAAGCACAAAUGCUUAUCUCUCUCAAAUUUUGUCGACAAAUUUGUUUACAUCCCUGUUAGUGAGCAUUUCUCUUCUGCCAAGUUAAUACAUCCACCUGAUAGAUGUGGCAUAUCAAGAAGCUGAUUAAACAGCAUGAUCAUUACACAGGUGCGCCUUGUGCAGGGGACAAUAAAAGGCCACUCUAAAAUGUGCAGUUUUAUCACACAGUGCAAUACCACAGAUGUCUCAAGUUUUGAUGCAGCGUGCAAUUGUCAUGCUGACUGCAGGAAUGUCCACCUGAGCUGGUGCCAGAGAAUUGAAUGUUAAUUUCUUUACCAUUAAAUGCCUCCAACAUUGUUUUAGAGAACUUGGCAGUAGGUCCAACCGGCUCCACAACAACGAUGAUUUCGUUAUAUCGUCAGAAGACGAGGAAAGCCCUGACAUUCAGUGUAGCUAGCUACAUUCGCUAGCUAAGUGAAAGUGAAAGCAAAACAAUUACAACAAAAUAUAGCUAGCUCUCUCUCCCUCAAUUUCUUCUCCUUCAUUUUUAAAUAAAAAACAUUUGUUAACUUUUCAACGAUUGUCUUUCUCUCUCUUUUGAGGCACUGCAGAGCUAUCUAGCUGUAGCUUAUGCUGUCUUACUAGAUCCUUUGAUUGGGUGGACAAAAUGUAAGUUCAUGCUGCAAGAUCUCUCGUAGG
RNAcentral lists this long non-coding RNA (1866 nucleotides) under Salmo salar (Atlantic salmon). RNAcentral's name for it is "lncRNA (ENSSSAG00000088163.1, ENSSSAG00020084167.1)". Lineage: Eukaryota; Metazoa; Chordata; Actinopteri; Salmoniformes; Salmonidae. The record is from RNAcentral.